RNAcentral lists this long non-coding RNA (1362 nucleotides) under Sus scrofa (pig). Its description in RNAcentral is "lncRNA (ENSSSCG00060022065.1)". Lineage: Eukaryota; Metazoa; Chordata; Mammalia; Artiodactyla; Suidae. The record is from RNAcentral.
CUGUGUGUCUGUGUGUGUUUACUCUUUCCAAAUGCAAAAAUGCCUGGGAGGAUUUUUACUUAAAGUAAUCUAAAAUACAGUAUGGUCAGCUUAUUAGAGUUGACCUCCUUUCUGAGAGAGAGAGACCACAGUUAAGAAAGAAAAAGACCUCCAUUAAAGGAGGGAGGAAAGGGGAUCAAAAUGCCAACUUCUUCAUUUUGUUUGGGGUCUGAACUAACUAGGUACCUUCAACAUAGCAGAAGCUGUGAGAUGUUUUCACAAGGCAGUUUAUGCAAGUAAUAUGACAACUACAAUGCUGAUGAUUGGUGAUGCAACUUUGAUAGCAUUAAAUGUUUACUAAGCAUGGAUUAUGUACCAGGAAAUACACUGAUUCAUUGCUCAUUUCAAUCUUACAACUCUCCAAAACAGAUUCUUAUGGCUGCAACUGAAAGAUCAGGAAACAGAGAUUUAGAAGCAAUAAAUACACCACAUACAUGAGAAGUCCUUGGCAAAACUAAAAAAUGACUUGGUGAUUUGCAUGAAUGAAACUAUACGCUCCACCUAAACGCCAAGACCUACCAGUCCCCUGAGCUGUGGAUCCUGCUCAGGGAGAAUGAACUGACUGGCUGAGGUGUUAAGAGAAAAUUUCAAAGACCCACAGUUAACAGGAGCUGGUUUUCCUUUGAGUCAGAACAUACCCCAAAUUGGGGGGAGGGUUUUUCCUCACAUGGGGAGGCCUCUGUUCUCCUAAAAAAUCCCAAACGACUCAUAAAGCCCUUGAUUCAAUCCAGAGCUCAAGAGAGUUUGCUCUGUGCCUUUGGCCCUCUUCCAAUAAGCUAUUUACUGGUUCUUCAGAUCUGACCUAAUUUGGAAACAGGCAGCUCGGUUCCCUGGAAUGGCUACCUCUGAGGUGGGCCUUCAGAAAGAGCUCCUUUUGCACCUCUCUCAAACAAUCACAAAGCAAGGUCUCUUACUCACAGACAUUCAGACAGCAUUUUACCAAGGAGAGUAAAAUGAAUAGUUGAAGCAAUGUCUGAAAACAGCUUAGGCAGAAAAUUCAGAUGGAUGACCUGGCGUUCUCAUUUUCCAAGUAACUGUCCAACUCUUGACUUUUUUAUGUCUUGACAAAAAAAAAAAAAAAAAAAUUGAAUCCAAGGGGAGAGUUUCCACCUUCGGAAAAAAUGUAAACAACACAGGGUGUUAUGUCUCGGAAAAGAAAUGUCAGUGCCCCAAUCGAGAAUCCUGACUAUUGGGGGCCUGAAUAAAGAGCAUCCUCAAUCCCAGCUGGCCAUAGUCAGAUGUAUUUUCUUUAGAUCUUUGAAGGAGAAUCUCAUUAUUAGAUGCAAGUGGCAAGCAGAAAAUCCCUACGUUUCUUUUAACCCU